CUUUGAUUAGUUGUAAAAAAAAAUUACUACUGUCCAAUUUUGUGCCUUCGUUAUGCUGUCCAAAAUUUGAACAAAUUAAUGGUUCUAUUUUCAUGCCGAUUGGGGGGUUGUAUGGACAGUCCCAUUUGUUGCAUUAUGCUGUCCAGUUUAGGGACCAAUUAAUUGAGUUAUUACAGGAUUAAAAAGAAUGGAUUUUUGUUGUGAUGAGCUAAUAAAUUUUAAUACUAUUAAGUGUGU
Molecule: long non-coding RNA, 237 nt
Filed under: Gossypium barbadense (sea-island cotton)
Lineage: Eukaryota; Viridiplantae; Streptophyta; Magnoliopsida; Malvales; Malvaceae
Description: long non-coding RNA (GBAR_LNC009411)
Source: RNAcentral